AGAAUCAAUUGAUUGCGAUGGGUGAAAUGAUGACGGAGAAAAGGGAUUUCCCCCUAUGUGAAGCAAGUUGGGGGUGGUGAUAGGAGAUAGAGAGGGGAUCGAUUGGUGG
Molecule: long non-coding RNA, 109 nt
Organism: Daphnia pulicaria
Lineage: Eukaryota; Metazoa; Arthropoda; Branchiopoda; Diplostraca; Daphniidae
Exons: 3
Source: RefSeq, a predicted model, not a curated record